Molecule: ribosomal RNA, 119 nt
Organism: Oreochromis aureus
Lineage: Eukaryota; Metazoa; Chordata; Actinopteri; Cichliformes; Cichlidae
Source: Ensembl
GCUUACGGCCAUACCACCCUGAACACGCCCGAUCUCGUCUGAUCUCGGAAGCUAAGCAGGGUCGUGCCUGGUCAGUACUUGGAUGGGAGACCGCCUGGGAAUACCAGGUGCUGUAAGCU